This 7964-nucleotide long non-coding RNA is filed under the name Solanum tuberosum (potato). Its description in RNAcentral is "long non-coding RNA (STUB_LNC002291)". The record is from RNAcentral. Lineage: Eukaryota; Viridiplantae; Streptophyta; Magnoliopsida; Solanales; Solanaceae.
UGCCGUUGAUGUAAACAUUGGGGCAAAUCCUUCUGCUGAGGGUGGAGGUGAAGAUGAAGGUGUGGAUGACCAAGCUGUCAAGGUUGUCGAUAUUGUUGACACUUUCAGACUUCAGGUUUGUAUACAUAGUUAUGGAAAUUUGAGUCAAUUUUAACAUACCUGUUAAUUAUAUGUGAAUAAAUAACGGUUUGCUAUUUGCAGGAGCAACCUGCUUUCGACAAGAAACAAUUUGUUACCUACAUUAAGAGAUACAUCAAGAACCUGACACCCAAGCUAGAAGGAGAAGCACAAGAAGCAUUUAAAAAGAACAUUGAAUCAGCAACUAAGUUCCUUUUGUCAAAGCUCAAGGACUUUCAAUUGUAUGUCCAUUUUCAUAUCAGUUUAUGACGUUGUCUAAGCUAAUUCCUUACCGAAGUUGAAUGCGUUUUGUUUUUCCUUCUACAUACUUGGCACCUUGAAAUAGAAACUGAUACUAUGUGUGUGCUGGCAGCUUUGUUGGUGAGGGCAUGCAUGACGACAGUGCCCUGGUGUUCGCAUACUACAAGGAUGGUUCAGCUGAUCCUACCUUUUUGUACCUUGCACCUGGCUUGAAGGAGAUCAAGUGCUAGAUGUCUGGUGGAGUGCUUCUGCUAGAAGUUUUGCAUUGGAGUUUAUGUUUCAUGUAGUUUCAAUAUCUGGUCCUAUUUGCUAAUUUGUGUUUGUUUCUUCUAAACCUUGGUACUCGUUGUAACCAGUACCUGCAGUUUUUCUUCAUUAUAAAAUCUUAUUAUGUGGGACAGCAAAUGACCCUCUGAUUGAAUUGAAAGUGUUCUCUUCUAUUGAUUAGCAAUUUUGUCUAUUUGAUUCAACUCUCUGAGGCCUUGCGAACUUGUCGCUCGUCUAGCUUUUAACAUAUAUUUGAUACGACCUGAACUUGUUGGUUCGUUGCUAAUAUAGCUUCUUUGCUUGUCAUUUGUUGUUGAAAAAAAUGGAUGCCUAAAAGGAAAGGUCGAUGCUUCAUAAUUAUAUGGAUUGGGGAAUCAAGGUAUGUAAGCCUAAAAUUUAUUUUUCUGCCAAGGCUCGCCCACAUGUUUCCCUUGGAUGGAUGAAUGAAGUCUAUGUCAAACAUGCUAGAGAGGCUCAGUCGACCAAGAGAGGUGGUCACGUGUUCACUUAUCAUUUGAUUAAUGUGUUCUCGUGCACAAGAUUGGUUUUGGUGACUCUCACUUGUUUUAUGCUUGAUACAGCAAAGCCGACCCUCAUGUGUUUAAGCCCUCGUGUACAAUAGGUGUUAUGAGAUUGGUUGCAUAUGCAAUUAACAUUCAUAAGUGAUUGGUUAGCAAUAUAUCAGAAUUCAUGUAUCAAUAUUGCCCUCGAGAAUUAAUUAUUCAGUCGGUCAGUUGAAUCUAUAUAAGACACAAGAAUCCAAAGGCAAUAAUAAUAUUAAUAAUAUAUCAUGUAAUGAACAAUCUUAAGACGUGUAUAACGAGCUAAGAAAGACAUGAGUUAUGGUAUCAUAUCUUACAUGUGCUCGUCAUAUGUUGUUCUAUCAGAUAUACGAGUACGUGUUGUAUAUAUACUUGUAUAGUUGGUGAGCUCUACUUCUACCUGGACUUAAACUGUGUCUAGUGCUAUUUUAUUGUACAUAUGCUUACAAAGUAUGGGUAUAUCGAGACCUAUCCCACCCAUAUAACGGUUGUUUAGUUUCAUAUUUUAGUAGAGAUUUCGUCACUUGUCACAUUAGACAUGUGUUUCAAUUAGGCCGAUUGGCCUCCAUCUCUGUAUAAACAAUUUUUUGUCAGUUACAUCGCUUGUUCACAAAUCACAUGUUAUAUCACGUGUUAUGAUCCAUCUGUAAAAUACAUCUUCAUACGGUUCUUAUCCGCCUCAUCCAGGCUUGUGCCCUGGUACUUAAUAAGUUGAUUAACAUUUCAUUUAGGGGUUUUGUCAUUUUAUAAAGGGGAACUUUCACAUAUAGCCACUCAAAAAUAGCCCAAUUACUCUCCAUAGCUAUAGUUUGAUAAUUACAAUUUGUAUCUACAUGUUAUAGGGAGGAGAGAGCCGAGCGAGACUGGGAGAGAGAGAGAGAGGGGGCAAAGAGUGGGAGAAAGGUGAAUUGCAUAUGUAUAUAGGUUAGAUAAUUAUAUAUUAUACAUAUGUAUUUGUAUUUAUGGCAAGCAAGAUUGGGAGAGGGAGGAGAGAGGCAAGCGAGAGAGGGCAAAGAGUGGGAGAGAGGUGAAUUGUAUAUGUAUAUAGGUUAGAUAAUUGUAUAUUAUACAUAUGCAUUUGUAUAUAUGGCGAGCGAGAUUGGGAGAGGGAGGAGAGAGGCGAGCGAGAGAGGGCAGAGAGUGGGAAAGAGGCGAAUUGUAUAUGUAUAUAGGUUAGAUAAUUGUAUAUUAUACAUAUGUAUCUGUAUAUUCUAGCGAAUUAUACAUAUACAAACAUGGCUAAUUAUACAAACUCGAAGUCAGCCCGCGUAAUUAAUGUAUAAUGUUAGUCGUGAGUGGUAAUUAUAGCAAAUUAUAGCUAUAAUGAGUAAUUAAAUAGUAUAAAUUUACUUAACCGCGUAAUUUUCCCUUUUAUAAAUGUAUACAAAUAUAAUAAUAUAAUUAUUAUUAUUAUUAUUAUUAUUAUUUGUGUGAAAGAGGACCAAAAUUGUUUUUAUACGAUUAACGAAAAAUCUAUUUUGUAUAGUUCAAGAAUAUUUUUUUGCAUUUUUCAGUUUUUCUUAAAUAAUAAUUCCAAUUCACAGUUUUUCUUAAAUAAUAAUUCCAAUUCACAUUGUCUUUCAUUUUUCACCUACCUCACAAAGCACUCAUUCAUGAAGAUGGUCCACAACUGCACAUACACCUAUUAACUUCGAAAAUUAUAUAUAUAUAAAUAUGUAUAUAUACGUUGAGAUAUGAUAUAUGUUUUAUUAGGCACUCAAAGAUACAAAAACUAUUUAGGUGUGUUGAUUUAAACAUUACAAAAGUUUAAAAAUAUUGAAUAAAAAAAAGAGAAUGACUAGUUUUGAACUUGAGACUUCAUGGUGCAAAAUGAACUUCAAAACCACCACUCCUCAAAGCAAAUUAUAUCUAAUAGAUUCAAUUUAGUUCAUAUUUAUACGUUAUUAUAUUAGUUUAGUAUUUUUAUGUUUAGUAAAAUUAUCAUACAAAUCAUCAUUGGGUGACAUAUUUUAACUAAUGUGUAUUAACCAUUAAUGGUGCACCCUUUGUCUUCAAAUCCUCGAUUCACCUCUCUCUCUCUAUAUAUAUAUAUAAAAGGACCUGAGCAUGAAUUCCCUCACAAAACGGAAACAUCACGAAUAGAUAUCAUAAUGAAAUCAGUCGAUCUCUUAAUUAUGAAGUUCUUUCGAAAAGUCAUUAUAUUUUGAUUUUUAAUUCUAAAGUCAUUGAACUAUAUGUUUAUUGUUGGGUUCGAAAGUGAUUAGGGCGUCAUGCGGAAGCUUACAAUUGCAAAUCAUAUGAUUAAAUCAGACAACAAAGAAAAGUAUCCUAAAGAAAUAUUAUUGAUAUGAUUUAGUCAAACGACCUACAUAUGAUAAAACUAAUAUUAAAAAACAUAUAGAUGUUUAGGAGAAAAUCUCCUCAUAAACAAGACUCUCUAAAUCAUUACAUUGUGAAUGUUAUUGUGUUUUUGAUAUGAGAAGGGGGGUGUUCAAUUUAUAGAUCUCCUAACUUUUCCUCUAAGGAAAGAAUAAACCAAAUAUAAAAUAUAUUUUUCUUUCAUGGUAAAAAUAUUUAUGGUAAUGUUUUGUCUUUUCUUUUAGGAAAAAACAAACUUCAAAUAAGAUAAGAAAAUCAGGGCAAAACCCUAACAAAUCUAAUCUUUUGGCUGAAUUUUCUUGACAAAACUUGAUAUGCCUUCUUCGUAUGCUUGAUAAUCUUGUUCUUCACAAAGUCUUCAUCACUGUUGCUUGCCAUGGUUAAAAAUAAGGUUUAAAAAGUAUGAGUUAAAAAUGGUUUUAAAAUAUUUCACUUUUAUUUUUAGAAAUUGCAACAACAAGAAUGUUGAAAAUAUGGUUGAAACUUCUUCUCCACAUGUAGGUAGACAAAAAUCUUCAUUAUCAUUAAAUUUGUUGCAAAUUGAUUUGAAACCACUUGAACCUGUCUUCACUCUUGUUCAACCAUUGAAUCAUGUGCUAUGAUACCACUUGUUGGGUUAUGAAGGUAAAUAGGAUGUCAUGUGAAAGCUUAUAAUUUGCAAAUCAUAUGACGAUAAAUUAGAUGACAACUUAAACUAUACUAAAAGACAUAAUAUUAAUUUAUGAUAGGACCAAUUGGCAUACAUAAUUAAGAACUAAUAAAAAGAAAAUAUUAAAACUGUUGAGAUAAAAAUCUCCACAUAAACAAAAUUCUUAAAAGUCUACAUUGUGGAUGUUAUUGUGUUCUACUAUGAGAAGAGAGGUCUUCAAUUUAUAGAUAUCCUAACUUUUCCUCUAAGGAAAAAAUAAACCAAAUAUGAAAAGUAAUGUUUUUUUCAUUUAGGAAAAAAUAAACUUCAAAUAAGGUAAGAAAAUCAUGACAAAACCCUAACAUUUUUUUCCCUCAAAAAGUCACUCAACUUUAAACUCAAAAUCUACUCAACGAUAUUUUAUAUACAAAGCCACUCAAUCUAUUUAGUUGAUUUUUUUCAUUAAAAUUUGUUAGAUAUAAGUAUUUAUUUAGAAUAAAAAAAUUUAAAAAUAAUUUUCUUUUUUAGAUUUAUGGGUUUUUGUGUAGUCUAUCUGAAGAUUGAUUUUGAUUUAUGGGUUUUUGUUACUGUUGAUUUAAAAAUUGUGAUGAUUCUUAGAAAUAGAUAUCUUUUUACUUCUUAGAAUUUUGACUUAAAAUAAAAAUUCUAUAUUAACAAAUUUUAAUUGAAAUAAUUAAUUAAAUAAAUUGAGUGAUUUAAUAAGUAAAAAUUUCUCGAUUAAAUAAAAGAAAGAGUGUAUUACACACACUAUUGAGGUGCAUUUCUCAAAUUAAUAAGUGAUAAUUUUUGUAUGAUACUCAUAAUCCCAAUAUUUAAGUAUGAAACUCAAAAAUAGAAAAUAAUUUAGGUGUAUUUUUUAUACUUAUCUCCUACUUUUAAUGUUUGGCAUUACCGCUAAAAACUGUUUAUUUUUAGAUGUACUUUUUUAAAAUGGCUUUUUUAAAAAGUGCAAUUUGUAUUUGACUAAUUCAUUUGAAAAGUGAUUUUAAAAGAAAAUUGUGUUUGACUAAUUUUAGAAAAAAAAAUGUGUUUAUGAGAGUCAAAUUACAAAAAAAGGUAAGUGUCAAUGUACUUUUAAUAUUAAGAUUAUUUUAUAGAGAGGAACUAUUUUAAAUAUCUAUUACAAAAAUUUUAAUUAAAAUAUACAUAUUUAAAUUUUCAAUUAAUAUUAUACAUAAAUGAAUAAAUAUUAAUAUAAUAUUAACAUGAUGGUUUAAUAUAAUUAAAAAUAUCAAGCAAAACAAAUUUAAAAAUCAUUCCACAAAUUAAACCACUAUAUAUGAAAAAUUCACCACAAAAAUAAAUAAAAAAUUUCAUAUUUUUAAUCCUACAAAAAUAUCGCUGUUACGUUUAUUUCUAAUUUUGUAAAAGAAAAUGUAAAAUAAUAUAUAAAAUAUAAAAUAAUAAUAUAUAAACAUAAAAUAAAAUAAAAUUUUAUUAUAUAAAAACUAAAAAAUAAAAAUAAAAUUCUUGAAUGAAACUUAAUCAAACUUAUCAGAUAUGCUAAUUAAUUAAUAAUUGAUAUAUUGAUAAAUAUGUGGAAAAAAUAUUUUAGUCUUAAAAAAAUAAUUUUCUAUUAUUUUUUUUCAAGAAGCAAAAUUUUUUAACUUCUUACCAACAUUCCGAACGAUAGAAAAAUUAUUUCUAAUUUAUUUAAAAACAUUUUUAAGAAUUUAUCAAACUCUUAAUUUUAAAAAAAUAAAAUUUUAGAGACAUUUUUGACGUUCCAACCGCCAUGUAAACGGGCUCUUAAUCAAGGUAAUUUUAAUCCACCCUGGUGCGGACUGCGGCGGCCGAACCCUACAAAAAAUGGGUCAUGUAACUACGUAAUUUUGAAAUUUAAGUCGGUUUAUUUUUAGAUUAUAAAUACCAAAUCCCACUCGGUUACAGCAAUCCCGAAUUCUCCGGUUAUAAAUACCCGUGUAACGCUCUCGAGCCUCCAUUAGAGUCUUUUUUCUUCCUCUCUCUUCUUAUUGUACUCCUCUUCCCUUUCAGAGAGAGAAAGCAAAAGGUUAAUCUGCCAUCAUGUUGGUUUAUCAAGAUCUCCUCACUGGUACUUUUUAAUCUUUGUGUUUCUUUACUUUUAUUGAAUGUCCGGUUCUGUUUUGAGCUCUUUUUUUCUUUUCUUUUUCUGGUUAUCGUUUUCCGUCAUUCUCUUGCUUAUGUUUUGUGUUAAUUUUAUGGUUGAAAAUUUGUGAUCUUGAGUUUGUUUCGGAUAGUAUUGUUUUAUUGGCUUGUAUCUGAUAUUGAUGGGUCAGUUUUUUGUUCUAAAGAUAAUGAAAUUUUGUAUGAAUUUUUGUUUCUUUGAUGCUUGAUAAGAUCUGGUUGAUUUAGCUGGUGUUACUGAAUGAUUUCCCGAGGUCCUAAGCUCUUAACGCUUCCUCUUUUUUUAUUUAUUGAUUAUUGGGGGAAUUAAGGAACUGGAUCUGAUCUGGAUUUUACGUUUCAACCCAUCGUAGGCGAUUUAAGCCCCAAAAUCUUUUACCUGUGAUCCUGAAUAAUGUGUAUGAGUGAUUUGGAUCCACGAGAUCUUAAUUUUUGUUGUUUCUUGUGUGAGCUGUGAGCAACACCUAAUUUACUCUACCUAUCUGUUUAUAGUGCAAAUUUUGUCAAUUUUAUGUAACAAACAUUAAAAGAUGUGUUCUUGCGCAAGCUCCAUAGAUCUGCAAAAAAUAAUAAUUGUGAAGGCAGUGGAUUCUAGUAAUUUCAGUAUCAAUUUGAACAUCUUAUAGUUUAUCUGGGCUACGGAAAUCAUAAAGAAAAUUAGAGUAUGCAGGCUUCUUUCUUCUUCUUUUUUCUGUUUGACCUCUGAUUCUUCUAUUGGUUAUCUAUAUUAUUGGUUGUUUGGUGCACCUCUGAGUUUCUUUAUAUGCACAAGUUCCCUAGUUUCUAGAGUGCUGUGUUACUGUGUUUUUGGACAAACUGUCGAGUUUUACCUUGCUUUCUGCACUCAAUCUCAAUGGUUUCCUAUAUAGCUCCGCGAUUUGGAUUCAUAGAGCAUGUAGGGUUUUUUCUGUUAUACGGACUUUGAAAGAGGACAUUCAGCUUGUAGGAAUUUUUGGUUUUCAUAUAUGGCCCCUUUAUGAUAUGUUACUACUUUUUAAAUUUAAAACACUUGAAAACAUAUUGCAGGUGAUGAGCUUCUCUCAGACUCAUUUCCCUACAAAGAAAUCCAGAAUGGAAUGCUUUGGGAAGUUCAAGGGAAGGUAGGGUCUCCAGUUAAUUAUUGCUCCCAAAUUUCCAUAUAUUAGCAACCAAAUUUUGGUGGCCUAACUAGUCUAUGUAAAAAGAAAUAAUGUGGUGUGUUGGUUACAUUACAGUGGGUUGUUCAAGGUGCCGUUGAUGUGAACAUUGGGGCAAAUCCUUCUGCUGAGGGUGGAGGUGAAGAUGAAGGUGUGGAUGAUCAAGCUGUCAAGGUUGUCGAUAUUGUUGACACUUUUAGACUUCAGGUUUGUAUACAUAGUUAUGGAAAUUUGAGUCAAUUUUAACAUACCUGUUAAUUAUAUGUGAAUAAAUAACGGUUUGCUAUUUGCAGGAGCAACCUGCUUUCGACAAGAAACAAUUUGUUACCUACAUUAAGAGAUACAUCAAGAACCUGACACCCAAGCUAGAAGGAGAAGCACAAGAAGCAUUUAAAAAGAACAUUGAAUCAGCAACUAAGUUCCUUUUGUCAAAGCUCAAGGACUUUCAAUUGUAUGUCCAUUUUCAUAUCAGUUUAUGACGUUGUCUAAGCUAAUUCCUUACCGAAGUUGAAUUGCGUUUUGUUUUCCUUCUUACAUACUUGGCAC